UCCUCAAGUCUCCUCCUUCUCCCGAAAUCCCUAAUUCUCGCGCCGUCAAUUCGCAUCUCCCGCGCGUCGCCUGCUUCACCUCGGCAUCGCACGCCGCCGGCCACGGGCCAUGACAGGAAGUUGAGACCGGUCACACGGCCAGGGAGCGGGCAAUCCGCCGCCGCCCGCCGCCCGCCGCCGCCGAGUCCUCCGGCGAAGGACAGAACCACAGGCGCCAACAGGAGCGAAGAAGAAGCAGUGAAACACAAGUGCUCGACGAAAUGGGGGCGUCGGGUCGGAGUGCGAAGAGGAGGAGGAGGUCGGGACCACCUGAGAUCGGAGAAGCGGAGGAGCAUCCGGCGGCGGCGGAGGAGGACGAAGAAGGCGCCGACCACAUCAGCAACCUCCCGGACGCCAUCCUUGGCGACAUCGUCGCCCGCCUCCCCACCAAAGAAGCCGGCAGCACGCAGAUCCUCGCCUGCCGGUGGCGCCACAUCUGGCGCUCCUCUUCGCUCAACCUCGACUGCACUACUACCAGCCUAAGCGCCAAGAACGACGCCCUCGCCGCUGGCGUGGUCUCCAGCAUCCUCUCCACCCAUCCUGGCCCCUGCCGCCGUCUGUGCGUCCCAGCGCACCACCUCGUCGACCGGCCGGACGCCGUGGACGCCUGGCUCCGAUCCGCCACGCUCGACAACCUCAAGGAGCUUAGAGUUCAUCAGCGAACGCUACUGUAGAGAAGGAGAUGCGCCGCCGCCGGCACCCACCUUCCGCUUCUCUUCCAGCCUCCGUGUUGUCACCAUCGGCAGAUGCCUGCUCCCUGACGCCACCAUCCAAGAGCUACACUUUCCCCAUCUGUAGCAUCUCGGGCUUGAGCAUGUCACCGUCUCUGAGGGCUCACUUCACAGCAUGAUUGCCAGCUGCCCUGUCCUGGAAUGCUUGCUGCUUAACUGCAACCUUGGUUUCCAUUAUCUUCGGAUCAAUUCCCCUAGCCUUCGAAGCAUCGGUGCACGCAUCAUAUCCUAUCGUAAUAGCAUUGGACACCUUCAAUUACAAGAACUCAUCAUCGAGGACGCCCCUCUUCUUGAGAAAUUGCCCCAUCUUGAAUCGCGCAAUGACCUGCAUGUAUUUGAUAAUUUCCGCGCCUAAACUGAAGGCUGUAGGCUGCCUUUGUGAUCCAUGGUUUGUCCACUCCAGGUUCACGUUUGGCACCACAGUUAUUAAGGUAACCAUGCUCUUUUUUUCCCCUUUAGAAGGCUUCUAAGUUGGUGUGGAUGAAAUUUAUGUCUGCUCUUAUAGAUGGCCUAUGCUUGUUGAAGGGAGUUAAGUACGAAAGUUUGGCGGAGGUUGUGUGCAAUGUGAAGAUUUUAGGUAUCCAUGUGGAUAUGCUUAAUGUGGAUAAUGUUAUUGACUUGAUGCUGCUUUCCUUGCUUGGAUAGGUUAUACUUCAAGGCUUGUCAAUGGGAUACAAAAAGGUCUGGUGGCAUAAAUACCGGAAUCUUAACAAGAACAUUGACAUCUGUCUCAAGACAGUAGUUUUGGACAAUUAUCGGGGUAUCUGGUCACAAGUUCACUUUGCCCAAUUAUUUGUACUGAACGCGAGAGUGCUAGAGUCUAUGAAAUUUGUGGUAAACACUGGAGAUUGCUAUGAGGAGUUUGUUGCAAAACAAUGUCGGAUGCUUCAGCUGGACAAAAGGGCUUCAAGAUGUGCUCAUUUCUAUUUUACCACUGAUAGAUGUCGCUGUGGAGAUUCAGAUAUUAAGCAUGUCCAAGAUUUGUCAUUUACUGACCCCUUUGAAUGUAGAUGUAGAAACUGGUUUGGUCCUUGAGAACUUUCUUGCUGAUCAAAUCUUCUGUCUGAUACUUUUUUGAUAAAUGUGAUCCAGUUUUGCAAGAAAGCCCACAAAAACAGUAGUUCACACAACACCACACAGCAAAUGGGGUUACAGGUCUUUCGAAGAACCGCACAAAGCUCACUGAACCAUCUGGGGAUGCUAGCAAACCUGAUAAAAGAUGCAGACACUAAAGAAGCUAAUACAGAGCAGAUAAACUAGCCGUACUGCUAUCACAUAUCUGGUGGAUCUCUAUAACAUGAAUUAUGAUGUUGGUUCUUAGUGCAUCUCAAUUAGACAAGUUGCUAUCUCUGUUUUUGAGCAGGUAAAAUAAAUGUUAGUGUUUGAUGUAUGAAAACUGAGGAAACCAACGGACCUGAGCCUCCCUUUGAAGGUCUUAACAUUUUGUAAGAUAACAUCUGUCAGUUGUUACUCUGCAAAUGUGAACAUGGUCGAUUUAAGACACAUAAUUGAGAGUUUCAAGCUA
Molecule: non-coding RNA, 2295 nt
Organism: Oryza sativa Japonica Group (Japanese rice)
Lineage: Eukaryota; Viridiplantae; Streptophyta; Magnoliopsida; Poales; Poaceae
Source: RefSeq, a predicted model, not a curated record